Molecule: ribosomal RNA, 457 nt
Filed under: uncultured bacterium
Lineage: Bacteria
Description: bacterial SSU rRNA
Rfam family: Bacterial small subunit ribosomal RNA
Source: RNAcentral
AUUGAACGCUGGCGGCAUGCCUUACACAUGCAAGUCGAACGGCAGCGGACCUUCGGGUGCCGGCGAGUGGCGAACGGGUGAGUAAUAUAUCGGAACGUACCUUUCAGUGGGGGAUAACGUAGCGAAAGUUACGCUAAUACCGCAUAUUCUGUGAGCAGGAAAGCAGGGGAUCGCAAGACCUUGCGCUGAUUGAGCGGCCGAUAUCAGAUUAGCUAGUUGGUGAGGUAAAGGCUCACCAAGGCGACGAUCUGUAGCGGGUCUGAGAGGAUGAUCCGCCACACUGGAACUGAGACACGGUCCAGACUCCUACGGGAGGCAGCAGUGGGGAAUUUUGGACAAUGGGCGCAAGCCUGAUCCAGCCAUGCCGCGUGAAUGAUGAAGGUCUUAGGAUUGUAAAAUUCUUUCACCGGGGACGAUAAUGACGGUACCCGGAGAAGAAGCCCCGGCUAACUUCGUG